CCAGAGUUUGAUCAUGGCUCAGAUUGAACGCUGGCGGCAGGCCUAACACAUGCAAGUCGAACGGUAACAGGAAACAGCUUGCUGUUUCGCUGACGAGUGGCGGACGGGUGAGUAAUGUCUGGGAAACUGCCUGAUGGAGGGGGGAUAACUACUGGAAACGGUAGCUAAUACCGCAUAACGUCGCAAGACCAAAGAGGGGGACCCUCGGGCCUCUUGCCCAUCGGGAUGUGCCCAGAUGGGAUUAGCUUGUUGGUGGGGUAACGGCUCACCAAGGCGACGAUCCCUAGCUGGUCUGAGAGGAUGACCAGCCACACUGGAACUGAGACACGGUCCAGACUCCUACGGGAGGCAGCAGUGGGGAAUAUUGCACAAUGGGCGCAAGCCUGAUGCAGCCAUGCCGCGUGUAUGAAGAAGGCCUUCGGGUUGUAAAGUACUUUCAGCGGGGAGGAAGGGAGUAAAGUUAAUACCUUUGCUCAUUGACGUUACCCGCAGAAGAAGCACCGGCUAACUCCGUGCCAGCAGCCGCGGUAAUACGGAGGGUGCAAGCGUUAAUCGGAAUUACUGGGCGUAAAGCGCACGCAGGCGGUUUGUUAAGUCAGAUGUGAAACCCCCGGGCUCAACCUGGGAACUGCAUCUGAUACUGGCAAGCUUGAGUCUCGUAGAGGGGGGUAGAAUUCCAGGUGUAGCGGUGAAACGCGUAGAGAUCUGGAGGAAUACCGGUGGCGAAGGCGGCCCCCUGGACGAAGACUGACCGCUCAGGUGCGAAAGCGGUGGGGGAGCAAACAGGAUUAGAUACCCUGGUAGUCCACCGCCGUAAACGAUGUCGACUUGGAGGUUGUGCCCUUGAGGCGUGGCUUCCGGAGCUAACGCGUUAAGUCGACCGCCUGGGGAGUACGGCCGCAAGGUUAAAACUCAAAUGAGAUUGACGG
This 929-nucleotide ribosomal RNA is filed under the name uncultured bacterium. Its description in RNAcentral is "bacterial SSU rRNA". It matches the Rfam family "Bacterial small subunit ribosomal RNA", at positions 1 to 916 of the family's 1533-position model. The record is from RNAcentral.